Molecule: small RNA, 941 nt
Filed under: Pongo abelii (Sumatran orangutan)
Lineage: Eukaryota; Metazoa; Chordata; Mammalia; Primates; Hominidae
Description: processed transcript
Source: RNAcentral
CAAGAAGUAUGCUGAAUUGCUGGAUGAACAUCGUACUGAGCAAAAGAAGUUAAAACUCCUCCAAAAGAAACAGGUACAAAUUCAAAAAGAAAAGGACCAGCUACAAGGUGAACACAGCAGAGCUAUCCUCGCCCGAAGCAAAUUGGAGAGUCUGUGCCGGGAGCUGCAGAGACACAACAAGACUCUGAAGGAAGAGGCGCUUCAGCGGGCACGUGAGGAAGAAGAGAAAAGGAAGGAAAUCACAAGCCAUUUCCAGAGUACCCUCACGGAUAUCCAGGGCCAGAUCGAGCAGCAGAGUGAGCGAAAUAUGAAGCUCUGCCAGGAGAACACAGAGCUUGCAGAAAAGCUGAAAAGCAUCAUCGAUCAGUAUGAGCUCAGAGAGGAGCAUCUGGACAAAAUAUUUAAACACAGAGAACUGCAGCAGAAGCUGGUGGAUGCAAAGCUUGAGCAGGCCCAAGAAAUGAUGAAGGAAGCGGAGGAGCGACACAAACGAGAAAAGGAAUAUUUGCUGAACCAGGCGGCAGAGUGGAAACUUCAGGCGAAAGUGCUGAAGGAGCAAGAGACAGUCCUGCAGGCUCAGCUCACUCUCUACUCAGGAAGGUUUGAAGAAUUCCAGAGCACACUAACUAAAAGCAACGAGGUGUUUGCCACGUUCAAACAGGAAAUGGACAAAACAACUAAGAAAAUGAAGAAGCUGGAAAAGGACACAGCCACGUGGAAAGCCCGAUUUGAGAACUGUAACAAAGCUCUGUUGGACAUGAUUGAAGAGACUUCCUGACUGCUCCAAGAAUUUCAUCGAACAAGACUCAAAGAGGCCCAGCUGCUCUGCGUUUUGAUUCUUCUCCCUCUCUCAGUCCACACUGACCUGGGAGGGGCUUCUCAAACACCACAUUUCCUAGCAUGCUGUGAGAAGAGGACUGUGAGCUAAAAAGGGAGAAAAG